RNAcentral lists this ribosomal RNA (231 nucleotides) under uncultured bacterium. Its description in RNAcentral is "partial 16S ribosomal RNA". It matches the Rfam family "Bacterial small subunit ribosomal RNA", at positions 103 to 334 of the family's 1533-position model. The record is from RNAcentral.
CGGGUGAGUAACGCGUGGGUAACCUGCCUCAUACAGGGGGAUAACAGUUGGAAACGGCUGCUAAUACCGCAUAAGCGCACGGCAUCGCAUGAUGCAGUGUGAAAAACUCCGGUGGUAUGAGAUGGACCCGCGUCUGAUUAGGUAGUUGGUGGGGUAACGGCCUACCAAGCCGACGAUCAGUAGCCGACCUGAGAGGGUGACCGGCCACAUUGGGACUGAGACACGGCCCAG